Molecule: transfer RNA, 74 nt
Filed under: Caudoviricetes sp.
Lineage: Duplodnaviria; Heunggongvirae; Uroviricota; Caudoviricetes
Description: tRNA-Met
Rfam family: tRNA
About the family: Transfer RNA (tRNA) molecules are approximately 80 nucleotides in length. Their secondary structure includes four short double-helical elements and three loops (D, anti-codon, and T loops). Further hydrogen bonds mediate the characteristic L-shaped molecular structure. tRNAs have two regions of fundamental functional importance: the anti-codon, which is responsible for specific mRNA codon recognition, and the 3' end, to which the tRNAs corresponding amino acid is attached (by aminoacyl-tRNA synthetases). tRNAs cope with the degeneracy of the genetic code in two manners: having more than one tRNA (with a specific anti-codon) for a particular amino acid; and 'wobble' base-pairing, i.e. permitting non-standard base-pairing at the 3rd anti-codon position.
Source: RNAcentral
GUUCCCCUAGCUCAAUUGGUUAGAGCACCUGACUCAUAAUCAGGCGGUUAUCGGUUCAAUCCCGGUGGGGAACA